Molecule: ribosomal RNA, 826 nt
Filed under: uncultured bacterium
Lineage: Bacteria
Description: bacterial SSU rRNA
Rfam family: Bacterial small subunit ribosomal RNA
Source: RNAcentral
AGAGCGAACGCUGGCGGCAUGCUUAACACAUGCAAGUCGCACGGUCAGCAAUGGCAGUGGCGGACGGGUGAGUAACGCGUAGGAAUCUAUCUCUGGGUGGGGGACAACCGUGGGAAACUACGGCUAAUACCGCAUGAUGCCUGAGGGCCAAAGGCGCGAGUCGCCUGGAGAGGAGCCUGCGUCUGAUUAGCUUGUUGGUGGGGUAAAGGCUUACCAAGGCGACGAUCAGUAGCUGGUCUGAGAGGAUGAUCAGCCACAUUGGGACUGAGACACGGCCCAAACUCCUACGGGAGGCAGCAGUGGGGAAUAUUGGACAAUGGGCGAAAGCCUGAUCCAGCAAUGCCGCGUGGGUGAAGAAGGUCUUCGGAUUGUAAAGCCCUUUUGGCAGGGACGAUGAUGACGGUACCUGCAGAAUAAGCCCCGGCUAACUUCGUGCCAGCAGCCGCGGUAAUACGAAGGGGGCUAGCGUUGCUCGGAAUGACUGGGCGUAAAGGGCGCGUAGGCGGCUUACACAGUCAGAUGUGAAAUUCCUGGGCUCAACCUGGGGACUGCAUUUGAUACGUGCGGGCUUGAGUGAAGAAGAGGGUCGUGGAAUUUCCAGUGUAGAGGUGAAAUUCGUAGAUAUUGGAAAGAACACCGGUGGCGAAGGCGGCGACCUGGUCUUUUACUGACGCUGAGGCGCGAAAGCGUGGGGAGCAAACAGGAUUAGAUACCCUGGUAGUCCACGCUGUAAACGAUGUGUGCUGGAUGUUGGGGAACUUAGUUUCUCAGUGUCGUAGCUAACGCGAUAAGCACACCGCCUGGGGAGUACGGCCGCAAGGUUGAA